This 260-nucleotide ribosomal RNA is filed under the name uncultured bacterium. Its description in RNAcentral is "partial small subunit ribosomal RNA". It matches the Rfam family "Bacterial small subunit ribosomal RNA", at positions 26 to 284 of the family's 1533-position model. The record is from RNAcentral.
AGAGCGAACGCUGGCGGCGUGCUUAACACAUGCAAGUCGAGUGCGCGCCUGUAGCAAUACAGGUGGCGCACGGCGCACGGGUGCGUAACACGUGGGUAAUCUGCCCUUCGAUGGGGAAUAACUCCGGGAAACCGAAGCUAAUUCCGCAUAACAUUCCUUGGACCUCGGUCUGGGGAUUCAAAGCCGUAAGGCGUCGGAGGAGGAACUCGCGCACGAUUAGUUAGUUGGCAGGGUAACGGCCUACCAAGACUUUGAUCGUU